AAUCUGGAUUUUGUCAAAAGCCUCGGAGCAGACGAGGUUCUUGACUACAAAACUCCCGACGGUGCAGCUCUGAAAAGCCCUUCUGGUCGCAAAUACGAUGUAGUGAUCCACUGUGCUUCUGGUAUUCCUUGGUCUACCUUUGAACCUAAUCUAAGUUCAAACGGGAAGGUAAUCGACAUAACCCCUGGUCUUAGUGCUUUCCUAACUUGUGCUAUAAAAAAGCUUACCUUCUCAAAGAAGAAGCUGGUACCACUCUUUAUGUCACCUAAAAAGGAGAACCUCGAUUAUCUGGUUAACUUAUUGAAAGACGGGAAGCUUAAGACGGUAAUCGAUUCAAAGUAUCCCCUAAGUAAGGCUGAGGAAGCAUGGGCUAAGAGCAUUGAUGGUCAUGCCACUGGUAAGAUCAUUGUGGAGCCUUAAUGUAAGAAAUAUUACUUUAUACUUACUGCAGUGAUGCUUGGAGGUCAUGCUGCUUGUGUGUAUAAUUAGGAUUUGUGUAUCUUGAAAAUUAUGUGUAUGAAAUGUAUGGUUAAUAUACACGUUGGAUGAUAUUGCAAAAAUUUUCUUAAUGUGUUAUAAGCUUUGUUUUCAUAAAUUUAGCUCUUCUUUUAUAUGGUUCCUACUUUUCCUUACUUUUUCUAGUUGAUAAUUUGAGCAAUGAAAUGUUGUUGGGACUUGGAGUUAUAUAUGUGUUUUUUCAUGUAUAUUUUAUAAAUUUAUGUUUGGAGUUAAUUGCCGUCUUUUAUAAUAAUGUCUAUUUUAAAGUUAAAAAUACUUGUUGAAAAUUGUAUGGUUGAAAAUUGUAUGGAUUUUCAUUGGAUACAUAUUUCAAAAUUUUUUAUAAUUAAAGUUUUGCUUUUAAAUUAAAUUUCUUGUGAAUAAUAUCUAUUAUAUAUAAUAUUUGAAAGUUUGUUGAGCAAAUUUUUUAUGAUUUUUAUUUUGUUAGAAAAUAUUUAAAACUUAUGAAAUUACUUUUUUUUUUAUCAUAUCUUCAAUUAUUUAUUGUAACCCAUUGGUUUUGAUUUUAUAGGAUGUAGUAAAAAAAUUAAAAAAAUAAUUAUAUAAAUAAAUGUGGCACUUGUCGUACCAUUAAUCCACUUAUAAAAUAUAAAAACCUUCAUUGGCGAUGUAUCAAAUAAUUACCCAUUAAUUUUUAUCAUUUUCAACUGUAUUGACGUAUGAUUACCUUUUAAUCCUCAACGCAUGUGGAGUCUUUAGAAGCAAUGUAUAGAAUAAUUUUCGUUCGAAAUAUUUUUCCCAAACCUUGCGAUCAUAUCUGUAUAUUUGUUAUCUUCUUGAAGGUUAAUAAAUAAUGGCUUGCUUGUUUUUGGCAAUUUUUUUGCGUAAAAUACUAACAAUUUUAUGUCUAAAAACCAAAAGUUAUGUUCAAAUGUGUGCCUUUUAUGCCUCUUGAGUUUCGUAUUUUUCUAAAUUUUCAACUUCUUUAAAUUAUAAUUUUUCUUUAAAAAAUUAUAAUUUUUUUAUAUAUUAGUUCUCUUAAUAUAAAUUUUCGCUAACAAAGAAAACAAGUGGUUAUCUUCUCAUGUCAAAUUUAAAAAUUUGACUUAAAUAUAAAAUGACUCAAAUUUAUUUAAUUCAAAUUCGAAAUUAUUUAAACUCAAAUAGAUUUGAAUAUAAAAUAAUUUGAUUUCGAAUCGAAACUACAAAACUCAAAAUAGCCUAAACAACCUCAAAAAUUGAAAUGAGUCAAACUCAAAAUUGACCCAAUUUAAUACCAACCUGAUCUAAUCAAUUGAUAUAAUUUACUUUUCUUAUUAAUGAAAAUGGCCACAUUUACAAGAGGAUGCAAAUCAGUGUAUCACUUUCUUGAUAUAGGUACAUAUUGAUAUCGACAUUUUCAAUGUACCAUUUUAAGUUUAUUGAUGUUUUUAAAUAUUUUUCACAUAUAAUUUUUUUUUCUCCAAGUUGUUUGCUUCUUAUAUUUUGUUUUGUCCAACGGCGAUGCCAGCCUCUGCGCUGGCUAUUGCUCGCUUUUUUCUCCCUCUUAUCAACUCUUUCUUUCUUCCUUCUUUUUAUUCAUUCCACAUGUCUUUCCUCUUUUUCAUUUUGCAGAUCUAUUUUGUAGGUAUUUUUGUUGUUUUCACAAGUUAUGAUAGAUAGAUGACGAUGCCUGUCGUUCGCUAAAACUUCACUGGCUACCAGUAGUUUUUCUUGGAAAAUGGGUGGCUCUUCAUCACCUUUUUAAUUUGUUUAUGUUUUAAGAAUAUUUCAGAACAAUAAAUAAUUUCACGAUUCAAUUUGAGCCCAUGUUGUCUUAAGUUUAUAUAUGUUUUUUUUUUGUUUUUUUUCCCUAUUGUUUAAUAAGUUUCAAUUUUAGAAGUUUUUGUCUGCUCUUGUAGCACGAUUUUUAGUCUUGCUUAUACAUGUAAUCUUAAUUUUACAAGUGAUUUUAGGGAUGAUUUUGUUGUCGUCCUCUAUAGUUUGGUGAAUGCUCGAUUCUUUUGUCAAUUUUUGCUCGCCGUUUUGGACCAUCCGGGGCUGAUUUCCUUAUCAUGUUAAAUGCUUGCAAUCACUCCAGAUAUGUGGUGCUUGAGUUGUGACAAAGCCAAUUGUCAAUGUAUCAUAAUAUUCUAUUGAUGCUGAGGCUAAAGUCUUUUGUUGUAUUGACGGAUUUUGUCAUUUACUAUAUACGACGAGUGUUUGUUAUUUUUGUUCCUGAAUUGUAUGACUCCAUUCAUUAAAUGAAUUAAUGAAUUUACCUUUCAAAAAAAUAUUAUUCACAUAUAUAUAUUUAUAGUUUAAUUUUAGUUUCUUAAUAAAUGAUGCAUUAUUUUAGUUAAAAAAGUAUUAUUAUUGUAUACAUGUAAAUAUAUCUCAAUUACAUCCAUAUAAAAAUAUACAUAUAUAAAUGUAAGUUUUAAAAUUAUUAAUUUUGUUCAAUAAUUUAAUCUAAUAACUAUUAAUUUUAAAUUUACUUAUAGAGAAAUUAAAAUAGUUAAGAUAAAAAAAAUUUAAAAUUAGUUCAAGUACCAAAAUUUUGUACAAUAUUAACCAAAACAAGUUGAAACAAACUGAAAAUUGGACCAAAAUCGAACAUAAACUAUUUGAUACGGGUUUAGAUUCAUAAUAAUUAACCAGUUCAUUACCAACUACCAUAUUAAAAGCAUACAAUUUUGGGUUGUAUAAUAUGGUUUCUCAUCGGACAAGUUGACGUUUACCAUGAUUGAGAUCAAUUUUGUAUAGGAUUUUAACGAAUCAAUAACUUUUUUCAAAAUCGUAAUAUUCAUCGUUGGUAAUAGUAUUAAUCUUUUCCUUCUAAAAAGAUAAACAGACCACAUGAUUGGAGAAACACUUUGACUGAGCAUUUGGUUGAGAAAUUUUUUAUCAGGAAAGGAACUAUCAUACAUUCAACUUCUCCUAUCACCUUAACAUUAAUACAAAUCCCACCUACGGUAUCCAAACCCCAUUCUCUGAGCUUCAAUUUUUCUUCCACAUAAAGCACUAGGAUAGUGGAAUUUUCUGGAAUUGAAGUAAAUUAAGGAUUUGCUGAGACGGAGAGGUUGAUACUUUACAGUGAAGUGUUUAAAUUUUUUAUAUAGACCUGCUUGAUAUAAACUUGAAAAAAUAAUCGCCAGCGACUUGAUUUUAUAACGCUGUGAAUUUUUGUGCUUUUUACAGCAUGUUGAAGUUCCGAUCCCAACUCCAAAUAAAGGUGAAAUUUUGCUUAAACUGGAGGCAAUUAGUCUAAACCCAGCUGACUGGAAAAUACAGAAAGGGAUGCUGCGCCCACUUUUACCUAGAAAAUUCCCCUUCAUACCUGGUAGUUUAUAUAGUCUCGAGACUCUUUCUUUUUAUGAACGAUGUUUGAACCAGACCGGUAGGGGUACCGGUCCAGAUAAUGUCUUUGAACUGGUACAGACCGGUUGAACCGAUGGUUUACAUUUGUGGAGCUUGCUUUAGUUGCAACCAUUGAUGGGAAAAAAUGUGUCUAUUUGUUAACUCAAGUUAUCAUUAAAGGACAGAAUUUGUCUGGCAUAUCCUUCUUUUAUAAUUAACCAACAAAAUAAUAGACUGGUUUGUAGGUCUCUUAGUUUAAGCACUUGUGGUUAUUUGAUGGUAAUUUUUGGCAUCCUAUUGUCAUAGAGCUAAUGCUUUUAAAACGUGAAGAUUUGAUAUCUCAAAUGAAAGUUGUCUAGCUAUAUACCAUUUGCAAGUUAUAUUAAAGAACCUGUCUUCAGUAAGCUUUGCAGUUUUCUCUCUGUUGAUAUUUGGAUCGCCGCAUUUUAAUCAUCGAUUAAAGAUUUUUAUUUUCUUGUGCAGCAAGUGAUGUAGCCGGAGAAGUCGUACAGGUUGGAUCAGGAGUCACAAAUUACAAAGUUGGGGAUAAAGUUGUAAUCGAUUCAAAGUAUCCCCUAAGUAAGGCUGAGGAAGCAUGGGCUAAGAGCAUUGAUGGUCAUGCCACUGGUAAGAUCAUUGUGGAGCCUUAAUCUAUGAAAUAUUACUUUUUACUUACUACAGUGAUGCUUGGAGGUCAUGCUGCUUGUGUGUAUAAUUGGGAUGACAUUGCAAAAUUUUCUUAAUGUAUGAAAUGUAUGGUUAAUAUACACAUUGGAUGACAUUGCAAAAUUUUCUUAAUGUGUUAUAAGCUUUGCUUCCACAAAUUUAGCUUUCUUUUAUGUGUUUCCUACUUUUCCUUUAGACUCAUAUGUGUUUUUUUCAUGUCUAUUUUAUAAUUUAUAUUCAGAGUUAAUAGCCAUCUUUUCUAAUAAUAGCGAUUUUAAGAUUAAAAAUACUUGUUGAAAUUUGUAUAGCUUUUCAUUGGUUGCAUAUUUCGAAAUUUUUUAAAAUUAAAGAUUUACUUAUAAAUUAAAUAUCUUGUUAAUAAUAUCUAUUAUAUAUAAUAUUUGAAAGUUUAUUGAGCAAAUAUUUUAUGAAUUAUAUUUUGUUAAAAAAUAUUUAAAAUUUAUUAAAUUACUUUUUUUUCAAUUAUUUAUUGUAACACAUUAAUUUUAAUUUUUAUAAGAUGUCGUAAAAAAUAAAAAAAAAUAAUUAUAUAAAUAAGUGUGACACUUAUCACACCCUUAAUCCACUUGUAAAGUAUAAAAAAUUUCAUUCGCGAUGUAUCAAAUAAUUACCCAUUAUUUUUUAUCGUAUUGACCUUUGAUUAACUGAUAACAUCAAUUUAUUCAUCAGUCCAAAUAAUAGCCUCAACGUACUUCACAAAUACAAAUAAUGUAUGGAAUAAUUUUCCUUUGAAAUAUUUUUUCUAAACCUUGCGAACAUAUCUGUAUAUCUAUUACCUUCUUUACUGUUUGAACCGAUGAAGGGGAAUCCUGCAAUCUAUAGUUGAAGUAUGCAGUGAAUCAAAAUUUAUUAUCACACCAACUGAAUUAUCUUUUCAAUCUCAUUUCUUUAACCUUCACGAUGAUAAUUUAUUGGUUAAAUCUAUUAUUAGUCUAUCUAUUAUGCGUAAGUUAUAGAUUUAGGGUCCCUUUGGAUGGAAGUUUUUUUUAGUACGGUGCGUUUAGCUUUUUCUUUGUCUCAUGUUACCGUAUCAAAUCUCACCACUACUACUGUUUUUACACUAAUCGCAGAUAAACGCACCGCCUAUCCAAAAGAGCCCUUAAUCUCUAUACUUUAAUUUGGUAAAUUUUAAUCCAUGAACUUUUUGAAUUCGUCAAUUUUAAGUACUUUUCAAGUUUUAAAAUUUUAGCCAAAACCCGAAUGGUAGCAAUUAAAUUUGUUUUGGUUAAAAUCUACUAUUAGUUAUAGAUUAUGCGUAAUGUUUUAAAUUUAGCCCAUAUGCUCCUAUUCGAUUAUUGUUAAUCCCUAUAUUUUUUAAAAUUCAAAAUUUCAAUAUUGACGCAAAUAACAACUGCUAAAUUCAGUAAUUGUUUCUUUUGUGAGUAGCAUAUUAAAAUAAUAAGUUAACAUGACAUAAUAUGUUUGCUGCAUAAGAUUUUGAAAAUAGUAAACAUAUUAAAUCUAAUGGUUACCAUUUAGUUAAGAUUUUGAAAAAUACAUGUUUAAAAUUAACCAAAUUAAAGUAUAGAAACUAAACACACAACUUAUAGAUAGUACAAAAGUUAAUAAUGAAAAUUAAUCUAAACUAUUAAAAACUAUUAAAUUUUGUCACACAUUUAAUAUGGGUGAAAAUGCAUGUAACAAAUUUUAAAAAAAUGAAAAAAUUUGAUAUGAUAACAAAAAAUGGAGUUGGAAAAUUAAACAAACAUCAUAUUUUACGUUGAUGUCUCAUUAUGUCUAUCUAUUUUUUUAGAUUUUAUAUAAAAAAAUUACACUUAAAAUUAUUUCUAUUACUGAUUAAAAUAAUAAAUUUUUGAUAAAUACACUCUUAAAUUGAUAGACGUCGAAACCACCAAAAAUAAUUCUUACAAAAUAACUCUAAAUAGUAGUAAAGAGUGGUAGUAGGGUCGAGUCCAUAGGGAUUGGAUGUUAUAAUCAACUUCCGUGUUUAACUUGUGAUCAGAAUUUUUGUCAUGUUGAAAGUAGUGGCAAAAGUCGUGCCCAUGACUCCAAACGGGCCUGCUGAAAAAUAAACAAAUAAAUCAGGGAGUUUUGAAAUGUUUAGAAACUAAAUAAUUGAAAUAGCAUAAAUAAAUAAUUAAAUAAAUUAGAAAUUAAAUUGGAAAUUAAACUCGGAUUUGGUAAUCAAAGAUAAUAAGCCUUAGCCCUAGACUCGGUGGACUCCGGAUUUUUGAAUCGAUCCUUGAAAAUUAAUUUUUUCCUCCAAAUAAUAAGCUGGUUAUAGCAUUUAAGAACGUCAUAACCACCAAUUCUUCUUGUCGUAGCUAGUCCCAGUACAACCUGCAAACCAACCCUUACUGAUUAUCUAAUCGAAUACACGUGUUCCCAAUUCAAGAUUCUGGCGACCUUGCUCUCUGAAGAACCCAACUCGAAUUAAUGGCCUCAACCGCAUGGGUCGUUUAAACCUGAUCACUUCUUCCUUGAUUUGUUAUUGGAGAUUCGAAUACAGCACGGCCGACUCGUUUCUCCAACUGUCAGCAAACAUGACUCCAACCCAACGUGCACUUUUUGACUUGAAAUUGAGUUAACUUUAAGGGAUGAGUUGUCAAUUCCGAUACUUAGGAAAAAUGUGAAUACUAAUUGAAAAGAUUUUUAGUAUGGAUACGUAUCUCACGAUUCCCAACCAGAAAGAACACCGACCUAAAGCUAAGAUGAAAUUUUGUGAAGCAUGGAUUUAAUCAUGCUUUGGUUGACUAUGAUUGGAUUUGAAUGAAAGAUGGUGGAAAUUGGGAAAGGAAAGGGCUUAGAGGAGAAUUAGACCAAUUUUGAAAGAACAAAGAAUUGGAAAUGAAGUAACAGAAUGUUACGCACCAAAUUUGAGAAAAGAAAAUAAUUCUAUUCAAUUCCAAAUUGAAAUCAAAAUGUGAAAUUAACUGUGUCUUUUCUAAGUAUAUUAAAGCCUUAUUUAUACCCAUAGUAUUUAUUAAUUUUGGCUUUAACCACUUCAACAUAUAAUUAAAAUUAAAUAAAAAAAUAAAAUAAUAUUUUUUUUAUUUUUGACUUUUACAAAGUCAAAAAAAUCUGACGAGUCCUUGGCUUUCUCUACAUUUUUUAUUCGGCCUCAUUUCAUUAAUUGUAUUUCAAUUUGGUCCUUUUCUGCUCGUUUUUGUCUCUUAGCGUCCCAAUUGCAUCCUUGAUAAGAUUAAAACAUAAAAACACUAAUUUAGCAGGGAUCAAUUCAGAAAUAAACCGAAUUAAACACAAAAUAUCAUGCAAAUUAACAUGUUAUCAUAAAUAUAGUGGAGUAAUAAAUAAUAGAUAGAUAAUAUAUUCACUCCUACGUCUUUUCUCAAUCCAUAAAUAAGAGAAUAAUGUGUUUUAGCAUACUCAAACUUACAUUCUAUUGUAUUAAUAAUAAUAUUUAUAUCAAUCAAAGCUAAAACUUUAUCAACUCCACUCCUAAGUUUAUAAUAUAUUAGAGACUUAAAUAUGGUAACAGAUAAUAGAUAAUUAUUUUCCAACCUACCAAAUUAAACAUUUCGAGAGAUUUCUUGCAAAAUCAUCGAGGGUAUAUCCGUCAACUCAACAAUGUGGUCCCCAUUUGUUUAAAUGGUUAUGGCAAGCAGUUAACAAUACAAAUCUCCACCUACGGUAUCCUCCGCCAUUCUCUGAACUUCAUUUUUCCUUCAAAAAAACAAAAACAAAAAAAACUUCGAUUUUAUCUCUUUUAAUGAAAAAAAUGGCUGAAAAUCUUAUGCAUGCUUUACAAUAUAACAGCUACGGCGGAGGCGCUGCUGGUUUGAAGGUAAAUAUCUACUUUCUUAUGAUGAUUUAUUUUGCUUUCCGUAGUGUUUUGUCGCACAUAUAAUUUUGUUUAGUUGAGAUAUUAAUUCGUUUUUUAAGUGAAGAUUUCAAUUAAGGUUGUUAAUCUAGUGUUUAUAUUGAUCUAAGUUUGCUCUUCGGAUUCAAAAUACUAUCAGUUAAAUUUGUGAUUGAAAAGCAUGAAGAUGAUUUCAGUGAGUGCCGUGAGUUACUAUGGAAGUGGAAUUUUCUGGAACGGGAAUGAACUAGGGAUUUGCUAUUCGGAAUUAAAAUUUCAAAAAAAGGAUCUGAGAUUGAGAGGAUGACUUGAUAGUUAAAUGCUGAGCCAUUUUAUCGUCGGAUUCAAAAUUUUAUUUGUUAAAUUUGUGAUUGAAAGCGUAUAGAUAUUUGAAUGAGUGCUGCGAGGCAGUAGGAUAGUGGAAUUUUCUGGAAUGGGAGUAAAUUAAGGAUUUGCUCUUUUGAAGAGAUCUGAGACUGAGGCUGAUACUUGACAGUGAAGUUGAGUGUUUAAAAUUUUUAUAUGGACCUGCUUGAUAUAAACUUGAAAAAAUAAUAGUCAGCGACUUGAUGUCAUAACAGCUUUGAAUUUUUUUGUGCUUGUUACAGCAUGUUGAAGUUCCGAUCCCCACUCCAAAUAAAGGUGAAAUUUUGCUUAAACUGGAGGCAACUAGUCUAAACCCAGUUGACUGGAAAAUACAGAAAGGGAUGCUGCGCCCAUUUUUACCUAGAAAAUUCCCCUACAUACCUGGUAGUUUAUUUAUUUUAUCCUUUCACGACUGUUUUGGUCUUGAAAUAUUAUCGAGACUCUUUUAUUUUUACUUGGUUAGUGGUAUUUGUGUUUAAUUUACACUAUCUGUUAAGUUUCUCAAGUUACAUCAGUCUUCAAUAUCUGGGUUUGUUGUAGUACCAUGUCAAAUUCCCAAGCAGUAUUAAACUUGGAAUCUAAUUUGCUUCGAUUUACAUUGUGAAGUUUGCUUUAGUAGUAACAAUUGAUGGAAGAAAUGUGCAUUUGUUAGCUCAAGUUUUUAUUAAAGGACAGAAUUUGUCUAUUUGUUAAGGCAUAUCUUUUUCUAUAAUUAACCAACAUAAUAAUAGGCUGGUUGGUAGGUCUCUUAGUUUAAGCAGUUAUGGUUAUUUGAUGGUAAUUUUUGGCAUCCUAUUGUCAUGGAAGAUUUGAUAUCUCAAACGAAAGUUGCCUAUAUACCAUUUGCAAACUAUAUUAAAGAACCCAUCAUCAGUAAGCUUUGUAGUUUUCUCUCUGUCUAUAUUUGGAUUGCCGCAUUUUAAGCAUUGGUCAAAGAUAUUUUUUUCAUGUGCAGCUACUGAUGUAGCGGGAGAAGUCGUAAAAGUUGGACCGGGAGUCACAAAUUACAAAGCUGGGGAUAAAGUUGUGUCUAUGCUCCAUCAUUUUGUAAGUUCUCAUUCUCAUUCUUAAUCCUUCCCCCCACCCCCCACCUGAAAAAACAAUCAGCAUAAAAGCUCUGGCCCUUAGGCUCUCAACUGGCAUGUCAUUAAUCAUUCUGAGAACAAUCAGAAAGGAGAUUUCUUCAUGAAGAGUGGAAGAAUCACCAGCAUUUUACUAGCUUAAUAGAUCACAAUUUGAAAAAUUGUUAAUGAUAUUUGUGUUUUUGGUACUAGCUCAAGCAAUUAAUUGGGCACCGAGCUUGGUAGGACUUUAGGCAACAAUUCUUGAGGUAAAAUAUGGAUCUCCUUAUGGCCAAAAAAUCAACUUCAGAAUCUAACAAUGACAGAACAACAUAAAUUGUAGCCCCAUAAAAAGGAUUUUUAUGGACUGGUUCUACAUUUUUUGUUCUAAAUAAACCAUGUUGAUCUUCCAAUGAGUGAUCUUGAGUAGCUCUAGUUAUGAGAACUGGUUAGCAUUGGCCUGCUUGCCUGAUUAGAUUAAUCAAAGUAAAUUAAAGCUGUCAUCCCCAGAAUUUGAAAUCCUGAAAGCUUUUGGCUUUCUUUAUUUUGCUUGUAUUGAUAGUGAUGCUAGAGAAAUAUAGGUAUAUUCAAUGUUUCACUGGCCUUAUUACAACUAUAGGAUUAUCCUGAGACCCCAGAUCUUAUUACUACUUCUACUUUUCAUAUCGAGUCGUAUCGUGUUUAGAAUGCAAAAACUAUCUACGUGGAUAUCAUUUCUGAGGUAGUGAUUUUACUCUCAUCAUGUGGCCAUUUGGCUGAGAGAAACCUAGAUAUCAUUACUGCAGGCCAGUGGUUCAGUGAAUUCAUCUUCUAUUCGUAUUAUCAAUGAAUCAGAAUCAGUUAUGUCGAUUGCUAUGCUAUCUUCUAUUAUGAAUUAUUUGCAAUGAUAGACUGGAGGUGGACUAGCUGAAUAUGCUGUGGCUAAGGAGAAUCUGACUGUUGCAAGGCCAUUAGAAGUAUCAGCUGCUGAAGGUGCAGGUUUGCCUGUUGCUGGUCUUACAGCUCACCAGGCACUCACACAGUCGGCUGGGGUCAAGCUUGAUGGAAGUGGCCAGCAAGUAAACCUCUUGAUUACUGCUGCUUCAGGUGGUGUAGGUCAAUAUGCAGUUCAACUAGCAAAGUUUGGAAACACCCAUGUGACAGCCACUUGUGGGGCUCGCAAUCUGGAUUUCGUCAAAAGCCUCGGAGCAGAUGAGGUUCUUGACUACAGAACUCCCGACGGUGCAGCUCUAAAAAGCCCUUCGGGUCGCAAAUAUGAUGCAGUGAUCCACUGUGCAAUGGGCAUUCCUUGGUCUACCUUUGAACCUAAUCUAAGUUCAAACGGGAAGGUAAUCGAUAUAACCCCAGGUCCUAGUGCUCUGCUAACUUUUGCUAUGAAAAAGCUUACCUUCUCAAAGAAGAACCUGGUACCACUGCUAUUGUCACCUAAGAAGGAG
RNAcentral lists this long non-coding RNA (11129 nucleotides) under Gossypium barbadense (sea-island cotton). Its description in RNAcentral is "long non-coding RNA (GBAR_LNC017682)". The record is from RNAcentral. Lineage: Eukaryota; Viridiplantae; Streptophyta; Magnoliopsida; Malvales; Malvaceae.